This 468-nucleotide ribosomal RNA is filed under the name uncultured bacterium. RNAcentral's name for it is "partial 16S ribosomal RNA". It matches the Rfam family "Bacterial small subunit ribosomal RNA", at positions 28 to 507 of the family's 1533-position model. The record is from RNAcentral.
GACGAACGCUGGCGGCGUGCUUAACACAUGCAAGUCGAACGGAAAGGCCCUGCUUUUGUGGGGUGCUCGAGUGGCGAACGGGUGAGUAACACGUGAGUAACCUGCCCUUGACUUUGGGAUAACUUCAGGAAACUGGGGCUAAUACCGGAUAGGAGCUCCUGCUGCAUGGUGGGGGUUGGAAAGUUUCGGCGGUGGGGGAUGGACUCGCGGCUUAUCAGCUUGUUGGUGGGGUAGUGGCUUACCAGGGCUUUGACGGGUAGCCGGCCUGAGAGGGUGACCGGCCACAGUGGGACUGAGAUACGGCCCAGACUCCUACGGGAGGCAGCAGUGGGGAAUAUUGCACAACGGGCGGAAUCCUGAUGCAGCAACUCCGCGUGCGGGAUGACGGCCUGCUGGUUGUAAACCGCUUUCGCCUGUGACGAAGCGUGAGUGACGGUAAUGGGUAAAGAAGCACCGGCUAACUACGUG